CCUACGGGCGGCAGCAGUGAGGAAUAUUGGUCAAUGGGCGCGAGCCUGAACCAGCCAAGUCGCGUGAGGGAGGACGGCCCUACGGGUUGUAAACCUCUUUUGCCGGGGAGCAACGGGCGUCACGUGUGGCGCCACUGAGAGUACCCGGAGAAAAAGCAUCGGCUAACUCCGUGCCAGCAGCCGCGGUAAUACGGAGGAUGCGAGCGUUAUCCGGAUUCAUUGGGUUUAAAGGGUGCGCAGGCGGGCCUUUAAGCCGGCGGUGAAAUCGCGGGGCUCAACCCCGCCGAGCCGUCGGAACUGGGGGCCUUGAGUGCGGCGGAGGCAUGCGGAAUGCGCGGUGUAGCGGUGAAAUGCAUAGAUAUCGCGCAGAACCCCGAUUGCGAAGGCAGCGUGCCGUGCCGCCACUGACGCUGAGGCACGAAAGCGCGGGGAUCGAACAGGAUUAGAUACCCUAGUAGUC
This 460-nucleotide ribosomal RNA is filed under the name uncultured bacterium. RNAcentral describes it as "partial 16S ribosomal RNA". It matches the Rfam family "Bacterial small subunit ribosomal RNA", at positions 338 to 795 of the family's 1533-position model. The record is from RNAcentral.